Long non-coding RNA from Grus americana (Whooping crane), 717 nucleotides. RefSeq lists it as uncharacterized. The transcript has 3 exons. Lineage: Eukaryota; Metazoa; Chordata; Aves; Gruiformes; Gruidae. The record is from RefSeq and is a predicted model, not a curated record.
CCUGGCAGAGACCCUCCCUCACUUUUGAGUCCAUGUGCUGCUUUUUGAGCCUCCAAGGAGUUUCUCACCAAAAGUUUUCCUCCUCCACGCUGUUGCAGGGAACAUGAAAGGAAGGGGAAGCCAAGCCCAGCGCUGAGCAGGCAAUUCCCUACGGGAGCAAUGCUGGGACCAGCCUCUACGGGAGCGAUUCCACCAACGCCGUCCAGCUCCGCACUCUCCAACUUCGCAGGGCCGGUGAUCCCGCCAGCUCGGCACGGAGACACUGCGAAGGAGCCAGACUGCCUGUUUGACAGAUGCGGAGGAGUUGCUGUGCGAUAGCUAAUGAAACAUUUUAAAGAAAACUCACACGCCCUGUCCCCAAGAGGCUUGUUAUUUUCAGAAUGGAGUGGGCACUGGAAGGGACCUGCUCCCGAACCCCACAGCCUGCCGGGGGGAAGCAGGAAUUGCUCCUGGACGGAGACAGGAGCUCGCUGGUGAUGGGUCUCCUGCAGCGCUCGCUUUCUUGAGAAAAAUCACAGGAUGCAAAUUCUGCACCAACACAAGCAGCGAGGCAACGAGCCAGGGCGGCUUUUGGGCAUCUGCAGCCAAGAAGGGGCACAGCUAGAGCUGGGCUAGAGCUGGCAUUUCCCUCCCCACCCCCCUUUCUUUCUUCUUCCCUCUGUAAAGAAAUGGGAGCAAAAAGCAAAAUACACCAGAAAGACACCAGAGUGUUAAGAG